GAUGAACGCUGGCGGCGUGCCUAAUACAUGCAAGUCGAGCGAACAGACGAGGAGCUUGCUCCUCUGACGUUAGCGGCGGACGGGUGAGUAACACGUGGAUAACCUACCUAUAAGACUGGGAUAACUUCGGGAAACCGGAGCUAAUACCGGAUAAUAUAUUGAACCGCAUGGUUCAAUAGUGAAAGACGGUUUUGCUGUCACUUAUAGAUGGAUCCGCGCCGCAUUAGCUAGUUGGUAAGGUAACGGCUUACCAAGGCGACGAUUCGGAGCCGACCUGAGAGGGUGAUCGGCCACACUGGAACUGAGACACGGUCCAGACUCCUACGGGAGGCAGCAGUAGGGAAUCUUCCGCAAUGGGCGAAAGCCUGACGGAGCAACGCCGCGUGAGUGAUGAAGGUCUUCGGAUCGUAAAACUCUGUUAUUAGGGAAGAACAAAUGUGUAAGUAACUAUGCACGUCUUGACGGUACCUAAUCAGAAAGCCACGGCUAACUACGUG
This 497-nucleotide ribosomal RNA is filed under the name uncultured bacterium. RNAcentral's name for it is "partial 16S ribosomal RNA". It matches the Rfam family "Bacterial small subunit ribosomal RNA", at positions 28 to 507 of the family's 1533-position model. The record is from RNAcentral.